CUUAAUUUGAAAGCCAUAUUUCGACCUAGACGUUUUCGGGACGCGUAAGAACCUGCCCUUGGGAGGGGAACAAUAGUUGGAAACGGCUACUAAUACCCCGUAGGUUGAGGAGCAAAAGGAGGAAUCCGCCUAAGGAGAGGCUCGCGUCUAAUUAGCUAGUUGGUGAGGCCAUAGCUUACCAAGGUGAUGAUCAAUAGCUAGUCCGAGAGGAUGAUCAGCCACAUUGGGACUGAGACACGGCCCAGACUCCUAUGGGAGGUAGCAGUGGGGAAUUUUCCGCAAGAAAUAGGCCCAUUCAGCGGCUUUUUGCUCAAUUUCACGCA
This 323-nucleotide non-coding RNA is filed under the name Eucalyptus grandis. RNAcentral's name for it is "Bacterial small subunit ribosomal RNA". It matches the Rfam family "Bacterial small subunit ribosomal RNA", at positions 67 to 390 of the family's 1533-position model. The record is from Rfam by way of RNAcentral. Lineage: Eukaryota; Viridiplantae; Streptophyta; Magnoliopsida; Myrtales; Myrtaceae.